GAGUCGAGCAUUCUAAUGAGGUGU
RNAcentral lists this non-coding RNA (24 nucleotides) under Gossypium hirsutum (cotton). The record is from RNAcentral. Lineage: Eukaryota; Viridiplantae; Streptophyta; Magnoliopsida; Malvales; Malvaceae.